UGCGGGAUGGAGCAGCCCGGUAGCUCGCGAGGCUCAUAACCUCGAGGUCGUCGGUUCGAAUCCGGCUCCCGCAAC
Molecule: transfer RNA, 75 nt
Filed under: Stieleria magnilauensis
Lineage: Bacteria; Pseudomonadati; Planctomycetota; Planctomycetia; Pirellulales; Pirellulaceae
Also listed under: 5 other names
Description: Planctomycetes bacterium TBK1r tRNA-Met
Rfam family: tRNA
About the family: Transfer RNA (tRNA) molecules are approximately 80 nucleotides in length.
Source: RNAcentral